GGCGAAGGCGGCCCCCUGGAAGAAGACUGACGCUCAGGUGCGAAAGCUUGGGGAGCAAACAGGAUUUGAUCCCCUGGUAGUCCACGCUGUAAACGAUGUCGAUUUGGAGGUUGUGCCCUUGAGGCGUGGCUUCCGGAGCUAACGCGUUAAAUCGACCGCCUGGGGAGUACGGCCGCAAGGUUAAAACUCAAAUGAAUUGACGGGGGCCCGCACAAGCGGUGGAGCAUGUGGUUUAAUUCGAUGCAACGCGAAGAACCUUACCUACUCUUGACAUCCAGAGAACUUUGCAGAGAUGGUUUGGUGCCUUCGGGAACUCUGAGACAGGUGCUGCAUGGCUGUCGUCAGCUCGUGUUGUGAAAUGUUGGGUUAAGUCCCGCAACGAGCGCAACCCUUAUCCUUUGUUGCCAGCGGUUCGGCCGGGAACUCAAAGGAGACUGCCAGUGAUAAACUGGAGGAAGGUGGGGAUGACGUCAAGUCAUCAUGGCCCUUACGAGUAGGGCUACACACGUGCUACAAUGGCGUAUACAAAGAGAAGCGACCUCGCGAGAGCAAGCGGACCUCAUAAAGUACGUCGUAGUCCGGAUUGGAGUCUGCAACUCGACUCCAUGAAGUCGGAAUCGCUAGUAAUCGUAGAUCAGAAUGCUACGGUGAAUACGUUCCCGGGCCUUGUACACACCGCCCGUCACACCAUGGGAGUGGGUUGCAAAAGAAGUAG
RNAcentral lists this ribosomal RNA (715 nucleotides) under Serratia marcescens. RNAcentral's name for it is "bacterial SSU rRNA". It matches the Rfam family "Bacterial small subunit ribosomal RNA", at positions 714 to 1429 of the family's 1533-position model. Lineage: Bacteria; Pseudomonadati; Pseudomonadota; Gammaproteobacteria; Enterobacterales; Yersiniaceae. The record is from RNAcentral.